This is a non-coding RNA of Megalops atlanticus (tarpon), 111 nucleotides long. NCBI's taxonomy places the organism in Eukaryota, Metazoa, Chordata, Actinopteri, Elopiformes, Megalopidae. The record is from the annotation of a GenBank genome assembly.
GUCAGGAUGGCCGAGCGGUCUAAGGCGCCAGACUCAAGGUUCAAUACCUUCCGUUGUAAUGGGUGUUCUGGUCUCCGAAUGGAGGCGUGGGUUCGAAUCCCACUUCUGACA